RNAcentral lists this ribosomal RNA (406 nucleotides) under uncultured bacterium. RNAcentral describes it as "partial 16S ribosomal RNA". It matches the Rfam family "Bacterial small subunit ribosomal RNA", at positions 30 to 526 of the family's 1533-position model. The record is from RNAcentral.
AUUGAACGCUGGCGGCAGGCUUAACACAUGCAAGUCGAGCGAGCGGCGGACGGGUGAGUAAUGUCUGGGAAACUGCCUGUUGGAGGGGGAUAACUACUGGAAACGGUAGCUAAUACCGCAUACCAUCAGAUGUGCCUAGAUGGGAUUAGCUAGUAGGUGGGGUAAUGGGUCACCUAGGCGACGAUCCCUAGCUGGUCUGAGAGGAUGACCAGUCAGACUGGAACUGAGGCACGGUCCAGACUCCUACGGGAGGAAGCGGUGGGGAAUAUUGCACAAUGGGCGCAAGCCUGAUGCAGCCAUGCCGCGUGUGGGAAGAAGGCCUUCGGGUUGUAAAGCACUUUCAGCGAGGAGGCGUUACUCGCAGAAGAAGCGCCGGCUAACUACGUGCCAGCAGCCGCGGUAAUUC